GAUGAACGCUGGCGGCGUGCCUAAUACAUGCGAGUCGAGCGAACAGAUGAGGAGCUUGCUCCUCUGACGUUAGCGGCGGACGGGUGAGUAACACGUGGAUAACCUACCUAUAAGACUGGGAUAACUUCGGGAAACCGGAGCUAAUACCGGAUAAUAUAUUGAACCGCAUGGUUCAAUAGUGAAAGACGGUUUUGCUGUCACUUAUAGAUGGAUCCGCGCCGCAUUAGCUAGUUGGUAAGGUAACGGCUUACCAAGGCAACGAUGCGUAGCCGACCUGAGAGGGUGAUCGGCCACACUGGAACUGAGACACGGUCCAGACUCCGACGGGAGGCAGCAGGAGGGAAUCUUCCGCAAUGGGCGAAAGCCUGACGGAGCAACGCCGCGGGAGUGAUGAAGGUCUUCGGAUUGUAAAACUCUGUUAUUAGGGAAGAACAAAUGUGUAAGUAACUAUGCACGUCUUGACGGUACCUAAUCAGAAAGCCACGGCUAACUACGU
Molecule: ribosomal RNA, 496 nt
Filed under: uncultured bacterium
Lineage: Bacteria
Description: partial 16S ribosomal RNA
Rfam family: Bacterial small subunit ribosomal RNA
Source: RNAcentral